CGGACCUAUGGCGCAACGGUAGCGCGUCUGAUUCCAGAAAUCAUCAAAUUCUCGGAAUCUCCAGAAGGUUAGCUGUUCGAAUCAGCUUAGGUUCAA
Molecule: transfer RNA, 96 nt
Filed under: Periconia digitata
Lineage: Eukaryota; Fungi; Ascomycota; Dothideomycetes; Pleosporales; Periconiaceae
Description: tRNA-Trp
Rfam family: tRNA
About the family: Transfer RNA (tRNA) molecules are approximately 80 nucleotides in length. Their secondary structure includes four short double-helical elements and three loops (D, anti-codon, and T loops).
Source: RNAcentral